Non-coding RNA from Pleurotus pulmonarius, 91 nucleotides. The record is from the annotation of a GenBank genome assembly. NCBI's taxonomy places the organism in Eukaryota, Fungi, Basidiomycota, Agaricomycetes, Agaricales, Pleurotaceae.
GCAUCAAUGGGGUAGUGGUAACCUGGGUCGUUGCCAUUUCCUCGCAAUACGUCGAGUCGACCCGCCGCGAGUUCGAUUCUCGCUUGAUGCA